Long non-coding RNA from Diabrotica virgifera virgifera (western corn rootworm), 510 nucleotides. RefSeq lists it as uncharacterized. Lineage: Eukaryota; Metazoa; Arthropoda; Insecta; Coleoptera; Chrysomelidae. The record is from RefSeq and is a predicted model, not a curated record. The transcript is spliced from 2 exons.
UACAUUCCUGGAAUGUUGUUAGGGUUGUGUCUGAGUUUGGGGAACCGACUAUACUAAUAAACAAUUUCUAAGCUGUUUUAUAAUAAUUUUGUGAGUUUAUUAAUAAUAUUUUUUAUUUAAAACUAAAAUUUGUUAAUAAUGCUUAGUAAUGCAUAUAUUUUGUAUUUUUAGCUUUCCAGAAGAUCCUGCGAAGAAGACAUGAAGUAUAGAUCAGAUUUGUUAAUAGAGGAGUAUGUUCAAAACACUUUUUAGAAAAAGAUAUUGACAGAACUUCACUUUCAUCUAUUCGUUUGAGAGACUGUGCUGUUCCAAUAGCUUAUGUCACACAGAAUCAGCUGAGAGAAGUGGUCUACAAAAAACCAGAAAGGAAACGGAAUAUGUGGCUACGAAAAGCAAAAGAAAGGUUUACAAAGCAAAUGUGACACAUUUUUUUAUAAUAUUUAGGAAUGUCAGCAAAUUACAUUAAAAAAUGUAUGUAAAGAUUUUUUGCAAUAAAUAUAUUUAUAUUUA